RNAcentral lists this ribosomal RNA (292 nucleotides) under Aponurus laguncula. Its description in RNAcentral is "partial small subunit ribosomal RNA". The stretch from base 172 to 292 matches the Rfam family "Eukaryotic small subunit ribosomal RNA", at positions 745 to 866 of the family's 1831-position model. The record is from RNAcentral. Lineage: Eukaryota; Metazoa; Platyhelminthes; Trematoda; Azygiida; Hemiuridae.
UCUGGGUCGCAUGGUUACUCGCCGUGGUUUGCUUCAAUUAUCGUCAAACNGGUGUUGUAGCUUCCCGGUGUUGUAGUCGUGUAACCUUUCUNCCGUGUCUGUUUUCACUAACAGGUGCUGGUUUCGACUGGCAUGCNUUCGGGUGCUCUUAACUGGGUGUCCGGAGCGGGCGGCACGUUUACUUUGAACAAAUUUGAGUGCUCAAAGCAGGCCGUAGAGCCUGAAAAGUCUUGCAUGGAAUAAUAAAAUAGGACUUCGGUUCUAUUUUGUUGGUUUUCGGAUCCGACCUAAU